This 588-nucleotide long non-coding RNA is filed under the name Coturnix japonica (Japanese quail). Its description in RNAcentral is "lncRNA (ENSCJPG00005016647.1)". The record is from RNAcentral. Lineage: Eukaryota; Metazoa; Chordata; Aves; Galliformes; Phasianidae.
UGUUUCCUUUUUUGUAGUUUAAGUGGUUAAAUUGGAGACACAGAGGAUUUAGCAGCACGAGCUCAACAGGUUAGCAUGGGUUCCAUGGGUGCUUUGCAACCCAUUGCAGUUGGCGCCCCCUGGUGGACACAGCCGGAACUGCAGCAGCAGCGGCUCGCGCCCGGAACCGCGUGGGGCCGUUUCCUAUUUCCCUCCCCACAGGAGAAAAGAGUCGAUGGGAUCGAUCGAAUCGAGUAAAAAUCUCGUUUUUUUACUGUUAAGAUGCUGAAAUUUGACCGAAAAGCUUCACCGGGAGUGAUCUCUCCCUGUCUGCUUGCUGUGUGUGGUAAAUAAUCCAGGUGUAGCAAAAGAAGGAAAACCCCACCACGAUGCUUCUCUGCAGCACCCAGUGGCCUUUAAUCUGUUUUCCUGACCUAGAGCUUCAGGCCAGGAUAAUGCAGCAGAUAUGCAACUGCAGGUUGUGGCUUGUAGGGAACUCAACCAAAUGGACUCUUGACCAUUUCUCAGAAGUAAAGGGGGAGAAACACUGUGGAUGGGUGUAAAUAAAGAGAAACCUAACGCUCCUAAUAAAUAUUAUUAGAGCCACCA